RNAcentral lists this unclassified non-coding RNA (157 nucleotides) under soil metagenome. RNAcentral describes it as "partial internal transcribed spacer 1". The record is from RNAcentral.
GUGAUUAAAUCGAGCGUGUCUUCAUUGACCCGCUCACCCUUCUCACCAUCCACAUACACCUGUGCACUGGUUUAGCCUGAGCCGGUUUUUUCCGGUCCAGGUUAUCAUUUCAUACAAACUCUAGUCUUAUGAAUGUAAACGUUUUAAUAACAUAAUA